This 1191-nucleotide long non-coding RNA is filed under the name Felis catus (domestic cat). RNAcentral describes it as "lncRNA (ENSFCAG00000052048.1)". The record is from RNAcentral. Lineage: Eukaryota; Metazoa; Chordata; Mammalia; Carnivora; Felidae.
GUUAAAUGUAUAGUCUGCAGUGUCCUCAAGUUGAGAAACAUGACUGGCAGUCAUUCCUCCCACUCAGAGGGAUCUCCAAAUCUGUCUCACUUCUCACUGGAGCCCAAAGGCUGAAAACACAAUGGCAGAGAGAGAGAGAGAGAGAGAGAGAAGUACGUGCAUUAAAAGUUAAAAGAGGAAUGAAAGUCUGACGUUUUCCAAGUCUUAAAUACGACUUCGAGUGGUUUUUGUUUGUUACUGUUGACAAGUUAAGGCUAAAACCAAGAUUCAUUCAUUUUGUUUUUCACUAAAUUCAAUCAGCAUAUAUUCUGCACGUCAGUCUGUGUGCUUUGCCCUGAGGCGACCGGAUAAACACACCACGGUGCACCCAGAGGAGGAAGACUUGCGAGAUAAACAGCUGUAAUAAGUGUGGUAAAUUGCAAAAAGAGCACUUUGGUAAAUUGUCUGCAGGGUGGUCAGCAUUGCUGACGGGUGCCAAGAGCGCCCCCUCCUUGUGUCCACGGGAAGCCCCUCCUACCCAGAGGUAGAACCAAUUUCCUCCCCCGAACUCAGGCUGCUGGGAGGCUUGUGUGACCAACAGGCGGCUACCCUGAGCCCUGACUUCAGGAGGCUUCCCCGUUUCCGCUUCCGCAUCCGCGGUGCCCCCUUCGAAGCCAGCGGCCAUGUUGGAAACUCAGCGCCAUCACCGAAUGGUGAGGGAUGUAGGGAAAGAGAGGUCACGUGGGUAGGAGCCGAGUCACCCAACUGACACCAUGUCAGGGAAGCAUCGCUUGCAAGUCCUACCCGGUCCCCAAAGCACAGGAUGGCAGGCACGGAGAUGGUUGUGGUUUUGAGCCCCUCAGUUUUGGGGUGGCUUGUCCUAGAGCGAUAGACAGCUAAAGCAAUGGGUGAUGGUCACCAAUGCAAUAUGGACUGAAGAGGAAAUAUGAUUAAUCCUACCGGCAUCACCUGGGAACACCGGAAAGGGGCCUUGGUGUGCAUUGUGAAGGGGAAACACCUCACGAAAAGUCGCUAUUACCAACCUUCCAGCUCAGGCAGCUGAUUCCUGUGUCGCAACAGGAAUGUUGCGACUAAACAGGGCGAUGUUUAGUCCCUGCUAUGUGCUGUUCCCAGUGCUUUACUCUCUCAUUCAGGCCUCCCCACAACCCUCUGAGGCAGGUGUGCAACUAUUAUCACCUGCAUCUUGCCGUU